This is a long non-coding RNA of Mauremys reevesii (Reeves's turtle), 1865 nucleotides long. RefSeq lists it as uncharacterized. The record is from RefSeq and is a predicted model, not a curated record. The transcript is spliced from 3 exons. Lineage: Eukaryota; Metazoa; Chordata; Testudines; Geoemydidae.
UUUAUGCGCCGACUAAGGAACAUAACCCCAGCGUAAGAUGCGACAGACCUGUACCGGCAAUUAUAUAAUGUAUAUUCUAAAAAGUUAUGACCCAGUCCUCAAUGCAAAGUUAUCCCUCUGUGUUCCUCAAAAAAAGAAAACAGAAUUUUCAAAGGGCUAUAGCAAGAUCUGGAACAUGGACCUGGGCAUUAACAGCUGAGAUUUCUCAAGUCUACUGUUUUCAGAAUGUGCUCCUUUCUGUAACAUGGAAGAAAUGCUGAAGGGAGAACAUGACAAAAAAUUUUAACUGAAUUAAUAUUGAACCAUUAACACCUUAUUUUGUGAAGCUACAAGAUGUUUUGUGAAUAAAAAGUUUCUACAGCAAGUUUCCCCCACUUCCUCCCUCCCCAUACCACAAACAUCCUUUUAACAAAACAGGAUGUGUUGCUUUUCAGCUGCUUCAUCAUCAAGAGGAAACCAACAAAUUGCUGUUUAAACAUCGAGCAGGUUUGGACUCCAAUUACUUCACCAUUAUUGGUAGUGAGUUUUUCUGUAAACAACAACAAAAAACAAAAGAAACCACUCUAAGUACACUCCAAAGCAUCUUUCCCCACAUUUUAGUAUUGGAAUGGGAUUUUCAUUUUACUGUUGGUGGGAUUUAAAGCCAUAAGGCCCUGGCCUUGUGAGUUGCUGUUCCCUGUAAUGGGAGAUAAAGAUGUUCAGCACCUUACAGGAUAGGCCUUUUCAAGUUUCAUCCAGAGCCCAGUGAAGUUAGUGGAAGAACUCCCAGCCACUUCAGUGAGCUUUGGAUCAGGCCUCCAGACAUCCACAACACACCUGCUGUAGACUUUCACGCACCCUUUUGCAGUGGAACUACUAAACUACAACUUCUGUAAAGGGUCUCUCUUCAGAUGUCAAGAAAAGGGCUGAUAUUGAUUCUUCAGAGCCAAGAUUGUUUGGUUGGGAAUAUUAUAUAUUUACAGCAUUCAUUACAGUGUUUCCAUCCUACAACUGCAUGUUUCUAUAUAAACUAAACUGUAAAAAUAAAAUCAGAGAACCCUAUUUAUUUUUAUCACAAAGACCAUUUAACAGGAUAUAAAUGUGCAUGAAAAUAAGUGCACAGCAAAUGAAUUACUAUAAUUGAAUUUUCUUGUUUCAAUAUAACUGAGCUAGAGGAAGAUGGAGUAUUAUCAGACUACCUGAGGAGUCAAUUUUGAAGACAACCAUCUAUCCUGAAUAAACUCACUUCAGUCAAUGAAAUUAUUAUGGAGAGGCAAAAGUACUGGUACAAUCUCAACUAUCCAUCAUCAGGGCAGAAGAUAGAACUGCAUGAAUUGACUGUCAUGUUUCUGGCAUAACCCUGAGUAGUGCUUAUAUACACUGGUAUCGACAGAGACCUGAUGCGGCUCUGGAACAGAUUCUCUAUUUUUCAUCAGGAUUCUGAGAUGGGAAAGUUUGAGGCAGAGAAGCAGCUCUCCAAGUCGAUCUGUAUCCUGACAGUAAAAAAAAAAACAUAAGCAAGAGUGAUGUGGCUACCUAUCACUGUUCUGCUUGGGAUCAUACAGUAUUACUAAACCACUCACGUUCUGUAAAAAAAACCUACUUUGUAUUCUCAACAACAAUCUUUUACAUGUAUGAAACCACAGCUACCUCCUCAUCCUGCCCCUCAAGAUGGAACCAGAGAUAAAAGCAACAGAACUGUUGCUCUCACAAGUUUUGCAAACAGUAAGAGCCCGCCUGUCUCUGCCAAACAACAAGACCAAGAAGUUGCACAGGGCAGCUAAAUUUUCAGUUGCUCUCUGGAGAUGGCUCCUCACAAGUGCAUCUGACCCAACCUCAACUGUCCAUCACCAGGGAAGGAAAUAAAGCCAUACGAAUUGACUGUC